AGGGGGGCUAAGGAGCUCCUUUCAGUCCAAUACAGGGGGCAGAGAUGUGGAUAGAGCUGCCAUCUCAUGCAUUGGGUUAUGCUUAGUGUUUUAUUGGAAAGAUUUGCCAAUAUUCAUCACCCAAAAAAGAGAGAGAAGAUUAUGAAUGUUGAGUUUAGCCCGAUGCAUGGUGUGGGAGCAACUCCUUCCACAUACUUUGCCCACCCAUUGGACUGAAGGGAGCUCCUGGUUUCAUCUCC
This 239-nucleotide microRNA precursor is filed under the name Theobroma cacao (cacao). RNAcentral's name for it is "pre miRNA MIR159". It matches the Rfam family "MIR159 microRNA precursor family". Lineage: Eukaryota; Viridiplantae; Streptophyta; Magnoliopsida; Malvales; Malvaceae. The record is from Rfam by way of RNAcentral.